CAAAAGAGAGGCCUCCCCAAGUGCUCCACCCGCUUCCCCGGCGCCGAGCGGCGUCUACACCCGCGGGAACUCACCACCUAAGCCGUCGCUCAGACCGACAGCGCCCGCCAAGCUACGCUGCAAAGACACACAGCUUCUUUCUUCCCUGGUUCCGGCUACCCCCUUCCGCGAGCUAAUCAGGGCCCGCAAACUCCGUCUUAAUGUGCAGGCCUGAAUAUCUCUCAUCCAGUUCUUUUAAAAACUGAAAAUCUCCAUCCUUGAGAGAUUUAGGAGGAUCCUCUUUCUCAUUCUUCCUGAAGACCCCAAAUGACUUCUCAAUGCUCUUUCCCCCUAAAACCCAUAAUCCCCCCAAUAAUUCAUGAGACCCAAG
RNAcentral lists this long non-coding RNA (370 nucleotides) under Rattus norvegicus (Norway rat). RNAcentral describes it as "long non-coding RNA NONRATT000504". The record is from RNAcentral. Lineage: Eukaryota; Metazoa; Chordata; Mammalia; Rodentia; Muridae.